GUCACAAUAUUUUAAAAAGCAUGCCAGGUCGUGACCCUGGAGGUAGAAGAAACCCCCACCCCUUCUUUCUGACA
This 74-nucleotide transfer RNA is filed under the name Leiolepis boehmei. RNAcentral's name for it is "tRNA-His". The record is from RNAcentral. Lineage: Eukaryota; Metazoa; Chordata; Lepidosauria; Squamata; Agamidae.